AGAGUUUGAUCCUGGCUCAGGAUGAACGUUGGCGGUGUGCCUAAUACAUGCAAGUCGAACGGAGUUAAUAGCAAUAUUGACUUAGUGGCGAACGGGUGAGUAACGCGUUGGUGAUCUGCCUCGAAGUGUGGAAUAACGUUCCGAAAGGAACGCUAAUACCGCAUGUGCUCUCGAUUUUUAGAAACUUGAGAGUAAAGGAUUUAUUCGCUUCGAGAGGAGCCUGCGUCCCAUCAGCUGGUUGGUAGGGUAACGGCCUACCAAGGCUAUGACGGGUAGGGGACCUGAGAGGGUGGCCCCCCACAAUGGAACUGAAACACGGUCCAUACACCUACGGGUGGCAGCAGUAGGGAAUAUUAGAAAUGGACGAAAGUCUGAUCUAGCAACACCGCGUGUGCGAAGAAGGCCUUCGGGUCGUAAAGCACUUUUUGGAAGGAAUAGGAAGGAAUGUACUUCCAGAAUAAGUCUCGGCUAACUACGUGCCAGCAGCCGCGGUAACACGUAGGAGGCGAACGUUAUCCGGAUUUACUGGGCGUAAAGCGCGUGUAGGUGGUACUGUAAGUAGGGCGUGAAAGCUCCCGGCUCAACUGGGAGAGGCCGUUCUAAACUACAGAACUAGAGGAUGGUAGAGGGAGGUGGAAUUCCAGGUGUAGCGGUGGAAUGCGCAGAUAUCUGGAGGAACACCAGUGGCGAAGGCGGCCUCCUGGACCAUUCCUGACACUCAGACGCGAAAGCUAGGGUAGCAAACGGGAUUAGAGACCCCGGUAGUCCUAGCCCUAAACGAUGUAGACUAGGCGUCGGAAGUUUAAUCACCUUCGGUGUCCAAGCUAACGCGAUAAGUCUACCGCCUGGGGACUACGGCCGCAAGGUUAAAACUCAAAGGAAUUGACGGGUCCCCGCACAAGCAGCGGA
RNAcentral lists this ribosomal RNA (909 nucleotides) under bacterium enrichment culture clone IsoM-126. RNAcentral describes it as "bacterial SSU rRNA". It matches the Rfam family "Bacterial small subunit ribosomal RNA", at positions 8 to 936 of the family's 1533-position model. The record is from RNAcentral.